AUACGUAGGGUGCGAGCGUUAAUCGGAAUUACUGGGCGUAAAGCGUGCGCAGGCGGCGAUGCAAGACAGGUGUGAAAUCCCCGGGCUUAACCUGGGAACUGCACUUGUGACUGCAUGGCUAGAGUGCGUCAGAGGGGGGUGGAAUUCCGCGUGUAGCAGUGAAAUGCGUAGAGAUGCGGAGGAACACCGAUGGCGAAGGCAGCCCCCUGGGAUGACACUGACGCUCAGGCACGAAAGCGUGGGGAGCAAACAGGAUUAGAUACCCUGGUAGUCCACGCCCUAAACGAUGUCAACUAGUUGUCGGGGAUUCAUUUCCUUGGUAACGCAGCUAACGCGUGAAGUUGACCGCCUGGGGAGUACGGCCGCAAGGUUAAA
RNAcentral lists this ribosomal RNA (375 nucleotides) under uncultured bacterium. RNAcentral's name for it is "bacterial SSU rRNA". It matches the Rfam family "Bacterial small subunit ribosomal RNA", at positions 523 to 898 of the family's 1533-position model. The record is from RNAcentral.